Molecule: ribosomal RNA, 1680 nt
Filed under: human oral metagenome
Description: bacterial LSU rRNA
Rfam family: Bacterial large subunit ribosomal RNA
Source: RNAcentral
CAGGUUGAAGGUGCGGUAAAACGCACUGGAGGACCGAACCAGGGCACGUUGAAAAGUGCUUGGAUGAGGUGUGGGUAGCGGAGAAAUUCCAAUCGAACUUGGAGAUAGCUGGUUCUCUCCGAAAUAGCUUUAGGGCUAGCCUCGGAAUCAAGAAUCGUGGAGGUAGAGCACUGUUUGGACUAGGGGCCCAUCUCGGGUUACCGAAUUCAGAUAAACUCCGAAUGCCAUGUAUUUAUAUCCGGGAGUCAGACUGCGAGUGAUAAGAUCCGUAGUCGAAAGGGAAACAGCCCAGACCACCAGCUAAGGUCCCAAAAUAAUUGUUAAGUGGAAAAGGAUGUGGGGUUGCACAGACAACUAGGAUGUUAGCUUAGAAGCAGCUAUUCAUUCAAAGAGUGCGUAAUAGCUCACUAGUCGAGUGACCCUGCGCCGAAAAUGUAACGGGGCUAAACAGAUUACCGAAGCUGUGGAUUGGACCUUAUGGUCCAGUGGUAGGAGAGCGUUCUAAGGGCGGUGAAGCAUGAUCGUAAGGACAUGUGGAGCGCUUAGAAGUGAGAAUGCCGGUAUGAGUAGCGAAAGACGGGUGAGAAUCCCGUCCACCGAAUAACUAAGGUUUCCUGGGGAAGGCUCGUCCUCCCAGGGUUAGUCGGGACCUAAGGCGAGGCCGAUAGGCGUAGUCGAUGGACAACAGGUUGAUAUUCCUGUACUUCUAUAAAUCGUUUGAGCAAUGGAGGGACGCAGGAGGCUAAGAAAAGCGUACGACUGGAAGUGUACGCCCAAGCAGUGAGUCGGCUGAUGAGUCAAAUGCUUAUCACGGAUGCGACAAGCUGUGACGGGGAGGGAAGUUUAGUACCGAAGUUUCUGAUGUCACACUGCCGAGAAAAGCUUCUAGCAAGAUUUAUAGGACCCGUACCGCAAACCGACACAGGUAGUUGAGGAGAGAAUCCUAAGGUGAGCGAGCGAACUCUCGUUAAGGAACUCGGCAAAAUGACCCCGUAACUUCGGGAGAAGGGGUGCUGGUAGCAAUACCAGCCGCAGUGAAUAGGCCCAGGCGACUGUUUAUCAAAAACACAGGUCUCUGCAAAAUCGAAAGAUGACGUAUAGGGGCUGACGCCUGCCCGGUGCUGGAAGGUUAAGAGGAGAGGUUAGCGCAAGCGAAGCUUUGAAUUGAAGCCCCAGUAAACGGCGGCCGUAACUAUAACGGUCCUAAGGUAGCGAAAUUCCUUGUCGGGUAAGUUCCGACCCGCACGAAAGGCGUAAUGAUUUGGGCACUGUCUCAACGAGAGACUCGGUGAAAUUUUAGUACCUGUGAAGAUGCAGGUUACCCGCGACAGGACGGAAAGACCCCAUGGAGCUUUACUGUAGUUUGAUAUUGAGUGUUUGUGUCACAUGUACAGGAUAGGUAGGAGCUGAAGAAUCCGGGACGCCAGUUUCGGAGGAGGCAACGGUGGGAUACUACCCUUGUGACAUGACCACUCUAACCCGCACCCCUAACCGGGGUGGGAGACAGUGUCAGACGGGCAGUUUGACUGGGGCGGUCGCCUCCUAAAAUGUAACGGAGGCGCCCAAAGGUUCCCUCAGAAUGGUUGGAAAUCAUUCGUAGAGUGUAAAGGCAGAAGGGAGCUUGACUGCGAGACCAACAAGUCGAGCAGGGACGAAAGUCGGGCUUAGUGAUCCGGUGGU